UGGUUUCUCUUCAGAGCACAUACAUCUUUUGCCUUUUACUAAAGAUUUCUGUGGAGAGGAACAACUCU
This 68-nucleotide small nuclear RNA is filed under the name Nannospalax galili (Upper Galilee mountains blind mole rat). Its description in RNAcentral is "U5 spliceosomal RNA (ENSNGAG00000008309.1)". It matches the Rfam family "U5 spliceosomal RNA", at positions 7 to 74 of the family's 117-position model. Rfam says of the family: U5 RNA is a component of both types of known spliceosome. The precise function of this molecule is unknown, though it is known that the 5' loop is required for splice site selection and p220 binding, and that both the 3' stem-loop and the Sm site are important for Sm protein binding and cap methylation. Lineage: Eukaryota; Metazoa; Chordata; Mammalia; Rodentia; Spalacidae. The record is from Rfam by way of RNAcentral.